This is a non-coding RNA of Poecilia reticulata (guppy), 584 nucleotides long. NCBI's taxonomy places the organism in Eukaryota, Metazoa, Chordata, Actinopteri, Cyprinodontiformes, Poeciliidae. The record is from RefSeq and is a predicted model, not a curated record.
UGACGGUUGUUCCGUGAAUCCCCCGUAACAUUCUGUUAAAUUCUACAAAGAAUCCUGGAAAUUGAUCUCCAAAAGCUUCUAACAGCUGACGUCCGGAAAAAUCCCUGGUAGUUAUAUAGCAUUGAAGCAUCGGUCAGAGCUAAUGCGGGUUUCUAAUCCACAUUUUGAAUGUUAGAUUGUGUUAUAAAUGUACUUUGGCACUUUUAGUUUGAAAUUUGAAUUUUUACUUAAGCUUCAUUGAUAUUAGCGUCCUGAAUUUUAAGAUACUUUACUUUGACCUUCUUCCAGGUCAAGUUUUUUUUUUCUAUGGUGCACUUUUGAAACAUUGUGCCAGAGACAUCAAGAUCAACCUUACAUUACAAGAACUUGGAUGGCGAGCCCCAGCCCAGAGGACCAAGUGAACUGGUACAGUGAUCUGACUUGUCACCAGCCGUGAAACAUAAAAAAAAAAAUUUCAGACAUAUUGAAAAGACUAAACAAACUUUGAAAGAACAUUUGACAGACACAUAAAAGACUGGGUUAUUUUUUUUAUUUAAUUUUUUUUUUAAAAAGCGCGCAAUUUUUGUUUAUUUGUACAAUGUGGA